RNAcentral lists this long non-coding RNA (229 nucleotides) under Sorghum bicolor (sorghum). RNAcentral describes it as "long non-coding RNA (SBIC_LNC013928)". Lineage: Eukaryota; Viridiplantae; Streptophyta; Magnoliopsida; Poales; Poaceae. The record is from RNAcentral.
GUCCGUUUUUGACUCUUCUAGUCCGUUUUGCUGGUGUCUUUUGGGACUUGCACUAGUCCAUUCUUUAGGGUCCGAUUCAUUCUUCUCCUCUUCUAUAUACCUAAGUACAAUCAAGGUACAACACUUAGGUAGUAUAUAAUUCUCAUUAAUGUUAAAAUGAAUAUCACAAAGUAGCGCGUGGACCUCUUGUUGUAGCUUCUUUGUACGACUACGUGUAAUCAGUCCAUCA